Molecule: transfer RNA, 67 nt
Filed under: Marmota monax (woodchuck)
Lineage: Eukaryota; Metazoa; Chordata; Mammalia; Rodentia; Sciuridae
Description: tRNA.Ala
Source: RNAcentral
GGUUGUGGCUCAGUGGUAGAGCGUUCUCCUAGCAUGUGUGAGAUUCUAGGUUCCAUCCUCAGCACCA